ACUUAUAUAGUUUAUAUAAAAUUCUAGUUUGUGGGUCUAGAGAAGUAAAAUUUACUUUAAGUA
Molecule: transfer RNA, 63 nt
Filed under: Curculio elephas
Lineage: Eukaryota; Metazoa; Arthropoda; Insecta; Coleoptera; Curculionidae
Description: tRNA-His
Source: RNAcentral